RNAcentral lists this ribosomal RNA (497 nucleotides) under uncultured bacterium. RNAcentral describes it as "partial 16S ribosomal RNA". It matches the Rfam family "Bacterial small subunit ribosomal RNA", at positions 28 to 507 of the family's 1533-position model. The record is from RNAcentral.
GAUGAACGCUGGCGGCGUGCCUAAUACAUGCAAGUCGAGCGAACGGACGAGAAGCUUGCUUCUCUGAUGUUAGCGGCGGACGGGUGAGUAACACGUGGAUAACCUACCUUUAAGACUGGGAUAACUUCGGGAAACCGGAGCUAAUACCGGAUAAUAUUUUGAACCGCAUGGUUCAAAAGUGAAAGACGGUCUUGCUGUCACUUAUAGAUGGAUCCGCGCUGCAUUAGCUAGUUGGUAAGGUAACGGCUUACCAAGGCAACGAUGCAUAGCCGACCUGAGAGGGGGGUCGGCCGCACUGGAACUGAGACACCGUCCAGGGUACUGAGGGAGGGAGCAGUCGGGAAUCCUCCGCAAUAGGGGGAAGCCUGGCGGAACGACGGCGCGUGAGUGGUGGAAGUUCUCGGAUCGGAAAACCCUGUUAUUAGGGGAGAACAUAUUUGGAAGGUACCGUGCACAUCUUGACGGUACCUAAUCAGAAAGCCACGGCUAACUACGUG